CCUGGCUCUGCCACUGAUCACAACCCCCCACCAGGGCUGGCCUCUCCUCAAACCUGGGCACAGCCUAGUGCCAAGCCCUUGCUGAGGACCCCUGCUGCAUCCCCAGUCGCCAGCCAGGAGAGGACACCCGGGCUGCUCUCUACACUGCCAGGGCACCCUCCUCUCCACCCUCCUCACUCCAAGGCAGUCAGCAGGACCCCUGAGCCAGCCUCGGGGCUGGAGGGCUUCGGGUUUUACGCUAAUGGUGCUGGGAUCGUCCGGCCAGAGACAAUGAAGUUGACCCCUGAUGCUGAGAUCCUGAGCCCCACGGGGUCACCACA
This 320-nucleotide long non-coding RNA is filed under the name Homo sapiens (human). RNAcentral's name for it is "non-protein coding lnc-TRIM11-2:1". The record is from RNAcentral. Lineage: Eukaryota; Metazoa; Chordata; Mammalia; Primates; Hominidae.